Molecule: long non-coding RNA, 6353 nt
Filed under: Gallus gallus (chicken)
Lineage: Eukaryota; Metazoa; Chordata; Aves; Galliformes; Phasianidae
Source: RNAcentral
CCCGCGGGGACGGCCGUAGGGGUGCGGCGCGGUGGGACGCGGGGACGGCCGCGGGGACCUCCGCGGGGGUGUGCGGCGUCGGGUGGCUGCGUGGGGCGCGGAGAUGGGGACGUGGGGCUGCGGCACCGCGGGGAUGGGGGGCGCGCUGGGGGGGGCCCACCUGGUGAGCAGCAGCACGACGCUGUACAGCGCCGGGAGCUCAGCGCGCGCCACGGCCGAGCCCACGGGCGGGGGGACACUGCGGGACAGACACACGCGUGGGUCACACUGCGCCACGCCGGGCGGCUCCCGCAGCGUCACCAUCUCAGCCCGACGCACUGUCAGUCACACUGCAUCCGGCGUGUCACACACCGACACGCUGCCACGCUCACACACUGCCACACACUCAUACACUGUCACACAACGUCACACAACGUCACACAGUGUCACACAACAUCAAAGGAAAUCGCCCACAUCACAGCGUCACACAGCACAGUGUCAGUGUCACAGUAUCACGCCGUGUCACAUAGCAUCACAUGGUGUCACUGUGUUGCUCUGUCACACCCCAUCACAUCACACCCCAUCACAUCACACCCCAUCACACCACGUCACGGUGCCGCAGCCCCACACAGCACCGCGGUGUCACCCACUGCCGCGCGGUGGCACAGUGUGCCGUUGCGGUGCCACCCACCUGCUGGCCAACGCCACCACCUGCACUGCGUCCCCCAGCUCAGCCUCGUGGGGCACAUCCAUGGUGACAGCGAACACGAGCUGGGGGGCACAAGAUGUGGGGCUCAGCCCCGUAGCACUCCAUGGAGCCUCCACAGAGAGUCCCACGGAGCCCCACGGAACCCACAGCACCCCACAGAGUCCCAGAAAGCUCUGUAGAGCCCCAUAAAGCACAUCCUGCCCCACAGAGCCCAUGGAGUCUCAUAGCUCCCCAUAGAACCCCGUAGCACCCCACGGAGCCCUUAGAGCCUCAUAAACUGCCAUAGGGCCCACAGCACCCGUAGCUCUCCACAGCAUCUCAUAGGGCCCCCUAGAAUCCCAUACCAUCCCAUAGUGCCUAACAGAGCCCGUAGAGCCUCAUAACGCCCCGCGGAGCCCUUAGAGACUCACAGACCCCCACAGAGCCCAUGGCACCCCAUAGAGCUCCACUGCACCCCAUAGAGACUCACAGUGCCCCACAGCGGCCCACCUGUUGGCCGGCCCACAGCACGGGGUGGCUGAUGUUGCAGAGGAUGCGCCCACCUCCCGGAGACACCGAGCUGCAGUGCUGUGCCAGGGACCUGCGGUGGGGCUGUGGGGCACGGGGUGAGCUGUGGGGUGGGCUGGUGGGGGGGUGCGGGGGGCCGUGGGGUGGGGUCUGGGAGUGGGGGGUGGGUGGUGGGGUUUGGGGUCAGCUGAGCGGGGUUCGGCGUUCUGGGGACACAUGGGAUUCUCUGUGGUCUUGAGGGCAUCUGGAGGAACUCGGGGGACUUGAGGGCCUCUGGAUGGGGUUGGGGUCAACCAGAUGAGGUUUGUGGUCUUGAGGGCAUCUGAAACGGGUUUGGGGUGUGGGGACGUGCAGGAUUCUAUGGGAACUUGAGGAGAUUUGGUGUCUUGGGGACAUCUGUAGAGGGAUAUGGGGAUCUCGAGGGCAUCUGGAUGGAGUUUCAGGUGCCAUAAUGACAUCUAUGGGGUCUUGAGAACAUCUGGGAUGGGAUUUUGGGGUCCGGAGAGCAUCUGGAGGGGCUCUGGGGGGCCUGGGGGAAUGUGGGGCAGCCCCUGUGGGGCGGUGGUUCCCCUGCUCCCUGUGGGCACCUGCAGCGCGGUGGCCUUGCGGUAGGAGAGCGCCUUGGGGUGCUGCAGCUCCACAUGGGCCCCAUACGCGUCCUCCCCAACGUUGUGCACGGUGACGGUGACGGUGACCUCCUCGGUGACGCCCACCACCAGCUCCUCCAGCCUGGGGGGCGGCGGCAGUGGGUGCGGGGCGGGGAUGUGGGGUGCCCCCGUGUGAGGUGGGGCCGCGGGGGGGGGAACAUACCCUGAGAAGCUGAGGGCCACGCGGAGGUCGGGCACACACUGGUUGUCCUCACCGCAGUUCUUCUCAAAGGGCAGCUGGGGGUCGGGCAGAGGGCCUCCAUCCCAACCUCCCCGCGCGCCCCAACUGCUUCCGUUCUGCUCCAUCCCCCACAUCUCCAUCCCAUCCCUCCAUCCCCCACAUCUCCAUCCUGUCUCUCAAUCCACCCCAUGUUUCCAACCCAACUUUUACAUCCAUCCUGUCUGCAUCCAUCCCAGUGUCCAUUCCACCUUCAUCUGCUCCAUCCCUCCAUUCCCCUCAACGUUCCGUUCCAACUUUCCAUCUCAUCCCCCAUUCGCCCCAUAUCUCCUGCUCAAUUCCCAUCCCAUCUCAUCCACCCAUCCCAUCCCUCUAUCUACCCCAACUUUUCAUCCCAGUGACCACGCUCAGCUUUCCACCCAUUCCCAAUUCCCAUCCCAACUCCAUCCCAUCCCCUCCCAUCCCAUCCCUCAAUCCACCCCAAUUUCCAUCCCACCUUCUCCAUCUCAUCCCUCCAUCUAUCCCAAUUUCCAUCACACAUCUCUGUCCAUCCCAACCAUCUCCAUCCUCUCCAUCUGCAUCCCAACCUCUCCAUCCAUCCCAACGUCCAUCCCAAACUUCCAUUCCUUCUCCAUCCAUCCCAACCAUCUCCAUCCCAUCCACCCCAUCACCUCCAUCCCCACCCAUCCCUCCGGCCACUGCCCCCAUCCCAAUUCCCACCCCACGUUCUCCACCCGCCCCACGCACCCAUCCCAUCCCUCCGUCCCACCUUCUCCAGGCACCCCAACACCCACCGCAUCGCUCCAUCCCUCCCAAUGUUUCCUGAACAAUUUCCACCCCCCUUGCGCACCGCCGACCCCCGCCCCAUCUCUCACUCACCCCACGUUCCCACCCCCUCUCGCCCACCCCAGACCCGUACCGCGGCGGUGACGGCCCACUGUGUGUCGCGGCUGAGUGCCACACGCAGCCCCUGUGCAUGCUGCAGUGCGUCCCCAUACGCCUCGAAGGCCACCCGCAGCCCCACGGGGCUCAGCGUGUCCGCUGGACAGCCCUGGGGACCCACACAUAGCGCCCGUGGUGGCGGCGGCCGCGUGUGGGGCAGCUCUGCACCCCCAGCAGCUGCGCCCGCACCGCACGCACCAUCACUCUGAUGGGGAAGCUCUGGCACCGGCGCCCCUCGCCCACGUGCGUGGUCCCGUUGCUCCUGGCAACGCCCGGCGAGAAGACGGCGCGAGCGGCACGGCCGGGGUCCAACUCCAGCCGGUAGUGGAGGGUGGCCCCGAGGGAGCCUGGGGGGCGGCAGGAUGUAGCGCUGUGGGGCUCUGUGCGGUCUACGGGCCUCUAUGGGGCCUAGCGGAUUGGGUGGCAUCGGGGGGGGGGUUGGGAAGGUCCUAUGGGGCUCAGCGGGUUGUGAGGCCAUCUGGAAUGGGUUGGGGAGGGCCCAUGGGACAAAGGGUUCUGAGGGCACCUGGAGGGGCUGGGGAGGUCCCACAGGUGUCCGAUGGCUGGGGCAGAGCCCCACACCCCGUGCUCUCACCUAAGCUGUCACUGCUCUUCUUGGUGCCAACAAAGCAGACGUUGGCUGUGGACGCCGUCGCAGCCCCAGCGGUGCUCGGCUCCUCCUCUGCCCGGUGGCAGUCAAAGUCAGAUAUGGGGAUUUCCGGGGGAGUGAAGGUCACCGUCACCUCAACCUUCAGCAAGGAUGUAGAUGGCGCCGCGCUCAUCGUCCUCCAUGGGAGCACCCACGGCCACGUCAUGCAGUCCGUCCCCGUCGAUGUCCCCAAGGCGAGCAACGCUGGCCCCAAAGCGCCCCAGCGGGUGUCCGGCCUGACCCCGCAGCGUCUGAUGGCACUGCAGCGCACGGCCCUAUGGCAGGAAACACAUGGGGGGUGUGGGGAGAGGUGGGGGUCAGGUUGGGAUGGGAAUGCGGUUGGGAAUGGGGAUGGGGAUGGCAUGGGAUGGAGGUGGGGAUGGAGAUGGGGAUGGGAUGGGAUGGGAAUGCAGAUGGGAUGGUAUGAGGAUGGGAGGGGGAUGGGAUGGGAAUGGGAUGGGGUGGGAUGGGGAUGGGAAUGGGAAUGGAGUUGGGAUAGGGGUUGGACUGGGGUGGGUUUGCAGUUGAGUUCUUGAGGUGGGGUUGCACUGAGCACCGUGGGGCUGCACUGGGGGUCCAUACCUGCGGCAACACCAUGCAGACCUCCACACGCCCCCCGGAGCCGUCCCCAUAGAACAUGGGGACCCCCACCAGCAGCGCCGCGCCAUCCCCCGAACCCUCCAGAGCACAGAGCGCUGCCCCAAAGUAGGAGCCCACCUGCAGGUGACAGUGUCAGCCCCGGGGCUGCUCCCACCCCAUGCUGUGCCCCACACGUCCCCCUACCAUCACCUGCCGGCCCACGGCGUCAGAGCGCAGCUCCCACUUCCCCCCCCGCUGGAGCACGAAGAGGAGCAGGCGGCCCACGUGGCGGUACCGGGGAGCCCCCAGCACCAGGGCCCGGAGCCCCCCCAGGGACAGAGACUCAGUGGCGUAACCUGCGGGCAGCAUGGGCGGCGGGUUGGACCCACGGAGGGGGGGCAUGGGGACACCCAUAGCUCCGGGACCCCAAUGGAAACAUCACUGACCCCCACAGAGGCAGCUCUGUCUCCAUGAAGACCCCAUCAUCUCCUGGACCAGCACAACAGCCCCAAGACCCCCAUGAAGAACCUAAGACCCCCACAGAAACUCCACCAUCCCCAUGGGACCAUUCCCAUCCCAUCACCCCCAUGAGAAGCCCACUAUCUCCGUGACUCGAGUGGGGACACCCACCGAUUCCAAGACCCCCAUGGAUAGCCCACCACCCCCACGACCAUCUUGAGGACUCCCAAUAUCCCCAUGGGGACGCCCUUAACCAGAAGACCCGCAUGAGGCUGCCAAGACCCCCGUGGGGAUAACCACCAACCCAAAGACCCCCCCGAGGAGCGCAGGACCCCGAGGCUCUCACCCAAGUAGGCAUCGCUCACACCCCCCUCCCCUUCGGAUGCGUUGACGAAGGCGACCUUCCCGUCGGCCCCGUAGAUGAAGACCCCUCCGGCCCAAUCGUAGGCGCCCACUGCUCCCAGCACUGCGCCCUCCUGCAGCAGGGAGGUCGGGGAGGGGGGCUGAGGUGGGUGGGAUGGGGCCCUGGGGGUCUCAGGUGGGUUUAGGGGGCGUCUGGAGGCGGUUGGGGAGGUCCUGGGGAAUUCCGGUGCGUUUGGGGGCACCUGGUGGGUCUCUGUGGGUCUGUGGAGCUCUAUGGGUCUGUAUGGGUCUCUAUGGGCUACUGCGGGGCCUAUGGGGUGCUGUGGGUUCUACGGGGUCUGUGAGGCUCUACGGGGCUCCGUGGGCUCUAUGGAUCUCUACGGCGUCUAUGGGGCUCCGUGGGGCUCCGGUGGGUUCUCGGGCGGAUCCGUGCGGUGGCAGUGGGGACACUCACGGGGGUGAGAAGAGCGCUGAAGCCCUCCUGGGCCAUCUCCAGUUGGAAGGAGCUCCCGAAGGCCGGGCGGGUCCCUGGGGGCAGCAUGGGGUGAGGCGGGCCCCUGGCACCCCCCGUGGGGCCACCCUAUGGGGCCAUACCCUCGAUGGCGAAGAUCUUCUCCUGCAGCUGCUCCUGGAUCCCCCGCAGCGCCUCGAAGUUGUCCACGCGGAAGACGUGUGCCUGUGGGGGGGCCGAGGCGAUGGUCUGCAGCUCCGCGGCCGCCUGGGAGUCCUUGAAGGCGCUGCCCACCUGCGGGGGAACGUCCCCGUCACCCGCGCUGUCCCGCUGUCACACAGCUGUCCCCGCGCUCUCGAAGCCCUCGGCGCCCCCGGUGUUCUCGGCGUCCCACCCUCUUGGCGUCCCCAGCACUCGACAUCACGCUCGAUGUCCCCCGUGCCCUCGGCGUCACCCCAGCGUGAGGCGCCCCCGGCGCUCUGUUUGUCACCUCCGUGUCCCCACGGCCUCAGUCUCACCCGGCUGUCCCCCGCCGUUCCCGGCGCCCCCGCGCUCCCGAUGUCACCUAAUGUCCGCGCCCCCGGCGUGCGCGGCGCUCUCCGUGUCACCUCGCUGUGCCCAGCGCUCCUGGCGCCACCGCAGUGCACCCCGCGCUCCGUGUCCCCAGCACGGUGUCCCCACCGUUCUCUCCGUCCUACACUCCGGGCGGCACCUCCACGUCCCCCACGCUCUCGCUGUCCCCUCGGUGUCCCCGCUGUCUCAGUGUAACCCCACGUCCCCCACGCUCUCGCUGUCCCCCUGACGUCCCUCGGGUGCCCCCAUGGCUAUUGGUGCCCCCGGUGUUCUUGGGGAGGAUUUGGGUUGAAUUUGGGGUUUGGGGAUUGGAGUUG